RNAcentral lists this ribosomal RNA (576 nucleotides) under Triticum aestivum (bread wheat). Its description in RNAcentral is "partial small subunit ribosomal RNA". Lineage: Eukaryota; Viridiplantae; Streptophyta; Magnoliopsida; Poales; Poaceae. The record is from RNAcentral.
AUGUCCAAGUACGGCACCAUCCCCACCUCCUCCUCCUCCGCCGCCGCGGGGGCGCCCCACCUCGGCGGCGCCUCCCCGCUCGACUUCAUCUCCCGCGCCAAGGCCCGCGGCGCGACGGCGCUGGCCACGCGCCGGCCGUGGCGCGAGCUCGCGGACGUGCACGCCAUCGGGCUGCCCCCGAGCCUCGGCGACGCCUACCUGCGCGUGCGCGCCAACCUCGCCCACUUCGCCAUGAACUACGCCAUCGUCGUCCUCGUCGUCGUCUUCCUCUCCCUCCUCUGGCAGCCCAUCUCCCUCAUCGUCUUCCUCGUCUGCAUGGUCGGCUGGCUCGUCCUCUACUUCCUCCACGACGAGCCCAUCGUCCUCUUCGGCCGCGUCGUCGGCGACGGCGUGGUCCUCGCCGUGCUCGCUGCUGUCACGCUCAUCCUCCUGCUGCUCACCGGCGCCACCACCAACAUCCUCACGUCGCUGCUCAUCGGCUUCGUGCUCGUCGUGGUGCACGCCGCCCUGCACAAGGCGGAGGACAACGUUGACGAAGAGGUCGGCCGCUGGUACGCGCCUGUGCCAGCGCAGUAG